RNAcentral lists this ribosomal RNA (468 nucleotides) under uncultured bacterium. RNAcentral describes it as "partial 16S ribosomal RNA". It matches the Rfam family "Bacterial small subunit ribosomal RNA", at positions 28 to 507 of the family's 1533-position model. The record is from RNAcentral.
GACGAACGCUGGCGGCGUGCUUAACACAUGCAAGUCGAACGGAAAAGCCCUGCUUUUGUGGGGUGCUCGAGUGGCGAACGGGUGAGUAACACGUGAGUAACCUGCCCUUGACUUUGGGAUAACUUCAGGAAACUGGGGCUAAUACCGGAUAGGAGCUCCUGCUGCAUGGUGGGGGUUGGAAAGUUUCGGCGGUUGGGGAUGGACUCGCGGCUUAUCAGCUUGUUGGUGGGGUAGUGGCUUACCAAGGCUUUGACGGGUAGCCGGCCUGAGAGGGUGACCGGCCACAUUGGGACUGAGAUACGGCCCAGACUCCUACGGGAGGCAGCAGUGGGGAAUAUUGCACAAUGGGCGGAAGCCUGAUGCAGCAACGCCGCGUGCGGGAUGACGGCCUUCGGGUUGUAAACCGCUUUCGCCUGUGACGAAGCGUGAGUGACGGUAAUGGGUAAAGAAGCACCGGCUAACUACGUG